UACGGGAGGCAGCAGUGGGGAAUAUUGCACAAUGGGGGAAACCCUGAUGCAGCAACGCCGCGUGAAGGAAGAAGUAUUUCGGUAUGUAAACUUCUAUCGACAGGGAAGAAACAAAUGACGGUACCUGAAUAAGAAGCACCGGCUAAAUACGUGCCAGCAGCCGCGGUAAUACGUAUGGUGCAAGCGUUAUCCGGAUUUACUGGGUGUAAAGGGUGAGUAGGCGGUCAUGCAAGUCAUAUGUGAAAUGUCAGGGCUUAACCUUGGCGCUGCAUAAGAAACUGUAUGACUAGAGUGCAGGAGAGGUAAGCGGAAUUCCUAGUGUAGCGGUGAAAUGCGUAGAUAUUAGGAAGAACACC
RNAcentral lists this ribosomal RNA (356 nucleotides) under uncultured bacterium. RNAcentral's name for it is "bacterial SSU rRNA". It matches the Rfam family "Bacterial small subunit ribosomal RNA", at positions 340 to 710 of the family's 1533-position model. The record is from RNAcentral.